Podarcis lilfordi (Lilford's wall lizard) is the source of this 77-nucleotide non-coding RNA. NCBI's taxonomy places the organism in Eukaryota, Metazoa, Chordata, Lepidosauria, Squamata, Lacertidae. The record is from the annotation of a GenBank genome assembly.
GUCCCUGUGCGGCUCAGUGGUUAGAGUGUUUGACUAGGACCCUGGAAGACCAGGGUUUAAAUCCCCAUGCUGGAAUG